CGUAGGGUGCGAGCGUUAAUCGGAAUUACUGGGCGUAAAGUGUGCGCAGGCGGCAGAGCAAGUCGAGUGUGAAAGCCCCGGGCUUAACUUGGGAAUUGCGCUCGAAACUACUUUGCUGGAGUGUGGCAGAGGAAGGUGGAAUUCCACGUGUAGCGGUGAAAUGCGUAGAGAUGUGGAGGAACACCAAUGGCGAAGGCAGCCUUCUGGGCCAACACUGACGCUCAUGCACGAAAGCGUGGGGAGCAAACAGGAUUAGAUACCCUGGUAGUCCACGCCCUAAACGAUGACGACUAGUUGUUGGAGGAGUUAAAUCCUUUAGUAACGCAGCUAACGCGCGAAGUCGUCCGCCUGGGGAGUACGGUCGCAAGAUUA
RNAcentral lists this ribosomal RNA (372 nucleotides) under uncultured organism. Its description in RNAcentral is "bacterial SSU rRNA". It matches the Rfam family "Bacterial small subunit ribosomal RNA", at positions 526 to 896 of the family's 1533-position model. The record is from RNAcentral.